This 253-nucleotide ribosomal RNA is filed under the name uncultured bacterium. Its description in RNAcentral is "partial 16S ribosomal RNA". It matches the Rfam family "Bacterial small subunit ribosomal RNA", at positions 524 to 776 of the family's 1533-position model. The record is from RNAcentral.
UACAGAGGGUGCGAGCGUUAAUCGGAAUUACUGGGCGUAAAGCGUGCGCAGGCGGCGCGUUAAGACAGGUGUGAAAUCCCCGGGCUUAACCUGGGAAUUGCGCUUGAAACUAGCGGGCUUGAGUGUGGCAGAGGGGGGUGGAAUUCCACGUGUAGCAGUGAAAUGCGUAGAGAUGUGGAGGAACACCGAUGGCGAAGGCAGCCCCCUGGGUCAACACUGACGCUCAUGCACGAAAGCGUGGGGAGCAAACAGG